Long non-coding RNA from Scylla paramamosain (green mud crab), 917 nucleotides. RefSeq lists it as uncharacterized. The transcript is spliced from 3 exons. The record is from RefSeq and is a predicted model, not a curated record. NCBI's taxonomy places the organism in Eukaryota, Metazoa, Arthropoda, Malacostraca, Decapoda, Portunidae.
AAAUUGGACCCGAGAGAUUUGGCACGACAGCGGCAGUGGCAGGUCAUCCGUGCUGUCAGUAUUAUUCCUUAUCUUGUGGCUUUUAUUGUUAUUAAUUGCUUGCAUCACAUUGGUUCCGAAUUUGUAAGAUGAAAGUAACACUUAAAUAAUAAGCAGCUUUCAUGGAAUUCCUGUGGGCCAUAGAACAUGACAGGGUGUGCAGGGAAAGGGUCUUCAGAGACUGGCUUGAUCCACUGGACGUCUGCUGUAUCAUGAAAUCCUGGACCUUGUAACUCCUUGGUGAUUCUGAUUAUUCUCUGAAAUCCUUUUCUAAUGACUCAUGAGCCAGCCAAGAGCUACUGGCAAGCACACCUACAACAGCCACACAAAGACAUGUGUGGUGAUACAGCAGACAUAUGGGACACCAAAAUCCAGAUUCUGCUGUCUCUACAAGUCAGGUGGCACCCUGCUGUACCACUCAGUUAAAAGUGCUCAUAAAGCAGCUGUACAUAUGCAGUUACACAACAUGUGCUUCCAAAGAAGAAUUCCCCUGAAUGAGCCACUAAUUGAUGAUGACCCCAGAGCUUAAGAAUAUAGAGGAGGCAUCCAAGCUGAACUGGCUUACUGCAGAGCACUCAAUGAAAAUGUGUUUUCAUAGGCUCUCUCUCUCUCUCUCUCUCUCUCUCUCUCUCUCUCUCUCUCUCUCUCUCUCUCUCUCUCUCUCCUUGAUGUUUCAUGCCCAUUUAGGACAUCACCUAAGGAUGUGGCCUUGGCAGAAGAAGAUCCAUGUCUUCCAGUUGAAGUCUUCCUUCCUCACUUGUUCCUAUACCAAUGCCUUUUGUCUUGCGUGUACUACCUCAACCUAUCUUAACAUCCAAGUGCCCUUCAGUAUACUCAUGUACGCUUCAGUAUUGUCAAAAUUAAAAAAGUUCAGUUCA